GACGUAGGGCGCGAGCGUUGUCCGGAUUUAUUGGGCGUAAAGAGCUCGUAGGCGGCUUGUUGCGUCGACUGUGAAAACCCGCAGCUUAACUGCGGGCCUGCAGUUGAUACGGGCAGGCUAGAGUUCGGUAGGGGAGACUGGAAUUCCUGGUGUAGCGGUGAAAUGCGCAGAGAUGCGGAGGAACACCGAUGGCGAAGGCAGCCCCCUGGGCUAGCACUGACGCUCAGGCACGAAAGCGUGGGGAGCAAACAGG
RNAcentral lists this ribosomal RNA (253 nucleotides) under uncultured bacterium. RNAcentral's name for it is "partial 16S ribosomal RNA". It matches the Rfam family "Bacterial small subunit ribosomal RNA", at positions 524 to 776 of the family's 1533-position model. The record is from RNAcentral.